GAAAGAAACAUGGAUCGCCUGCCUCCUGCAUGCCUCCUCCUGGGAUUCGAGCCCACAACCCCGGCAUGUGCCCUGACCAGGAAUCCAGGAAUGGAACCGGUGACCUCCUGGUGCCUGGGACAACAUGCAACCAGCUGAGCCCCACCGGCUGAGUACUUCCGUUUUUUUAUUGUAAGUGGUGUCCCAGUGAACACCCUUGCAUAUGUCUUUCUGCAAAUCUGCAUGAGCCUUGCAGGAGUAGGUACCAAGAGUGGAAUUGCUGGGUCCUAAGUUCUGUGCAUGAGUUCUCAUCGACCGUGCAGUCCAGCCCUGUCAACAGCUGAUACUAUCUAACUUAAACUGGUCCAUCUGCUGGGUGAAAAGUGAAGUAGUUGGGUUUUUUUUUGUGUGUGUUUCCCUGAUAAGUGAUAAGAUUAAGCAUCUAUUUGUAUUGGUCAUUUGUAGUUCCUCUCCAAUAAAUUGCCUAUUUGUGUCCUCGACCCAUUUUUCAACUGGGGACUCUUUUAUAUUGAUUUAUGAACAUUUAAAACAGUUUGUAUACUAGUCAUACAUUACAUAUAAGUAUUUUCUUCUACUUUAUUGCUAGUCUGUUAAUUUUGUUUAUGGUGGUGUGUGUGUGUGUGAGAGAGAGAGAGAAAGAGAGAGAGACUGUGUUUGGUCAUAGAGGUUAUAAACUAUGUUACCAGUUUUAUUCCAUUUUUUUCUUUAUGGCUGUUGCUUAAUUCCACAUAUAUAUGAGAUUGCUUCUGAAUUCUGUUCCAUGUACCUGUUAAUUUUACAUUUUAAAUUAUAGUUUUAAAAUAUAUUUUGGUACAAGCAGAUCUUCCCUGUUCUUUUGAUGCUUUUUCUUGACUAUUUUGUACCUUUCAUAUGAGUUUAAUUAUUAGCUUGUCAUACAUACUUCAUGAAAAAUCCUUUUUGUUUUUUCCCAGAGAGGAAGGGGAAGGGAGAGAAAAACAUCAAUGAUAAGAGAGAACCAUUGAUCGACUGCCUCCUGCACGCCCCCUACUGGGGAUCAGGGCUCAAACCUGGGCUUGUGCCCUGACCAGGAAUCAAACCCUGUGACCUGUUGGUUCGUAGGUUGACGCUUCAAUCACUGAGCCGCACCGCCCAGACAUCAGGUUGUCCUUUUACUUGGUUUACAGUAUCUUGUAUUAGAAAUUUUUAAGGCACAUUUUAAAAUACAGAAAACAUGCCCGGCCAUUGUGGCUCAGGGUCAAUUCCCGGUCAGGGCACGUGCCUGGGUUGCGAGCUCAAUCCCCAGUGUGGGGUGUGCAGAAGGCAGCCGAUCAGUGAUUCUCUCAUCAUUGAUGUUUCUGCCUCUCCCUCUCCCUUCCUCUCUGAAAUCAGUAAGAAUAUAUAUAACUUUUUCACCUUAGAACACCCAGAACCAUUAAAAAUCACUUCUCAUUCCCCCUCCUCCCAUCCCUUUUGCAGCCACUAAUCUGUUUUUCUGUCUCCAUGCAUUUGCCUCUUCUGGAUAGUUCUUGUAUGCGGACUCACAACGUGUCUUCUUUCACUUGGUGUAAUGUUUUCAAGGUUAAUUCGAGUUACAGCAUCUAUCCGCCCUUCAUUGCUGCUCGUGACUGAAUGCAGAACCAGACCUGGAUCUGGAGCCACCCAGUCAUCUUACCUGGAAACAGUUGAAGUUCCUGGUUUCCUCCCGUCCUUUCUGCGGGGCCUUGAUGUGUCUGCUUCCGUGCGAUCGCGCUCUCCUACCGUAAAUACAGGCCUGUGGCCCCCUUUUGGUCUGUU
Molecule: long non-coding RNA, 1755 nt
Organism: Myotis myotis
Lineage: Eukaryota; Metazoa; Chordata; Mammalia; Chiroptera; Vespertilionidae
Exons: 2
Source: RefSeq, a predicted model, not a curated record